RNAcentral lists this long non-coding RNA (745 nucleotides) under Cyanistes caeruleus (blue tit). RNAcentral's name for it is "lncRNA (ENSCCEG00000014374.1)". The record is from RNAcentral. Lineage: Eukaryota; Metazoa; Chordata; Aves; Passeriformes; Paridae.
UCUUAAACAAUGCAAAAUUGAGAAAUGUCUCUGGUGUGCAAUGUAUGUGGCUGUUACCCUCCUUGUGCCACUAAAGUUCAUAAAUACAAUGUAAAGGAAAUGUCCUUUCAUCUAAUAUUAACAAUCAGAAUCUGGAAAAAAGACCAUUGACCUUAACAUGAACAGAAUUCAAGUGAGUAAUAAUUUCCUCCUAUUUUAAAAAAGCUUUCAAUAAAUUUAUUGUUUUUAGUUUUCAUAGGGCUUGGCUGGUGUGCUGGGAACACUGCUAUUUGCUUAUCAAGCUUCUGCCCAUAUAUAUUCUGAAUUAAUAAAAAGCUCUCUAGCCUGGUGCUGGCUGUGAUAGGGCUAUGCUCAUACACGCUCUGCUGAAGGAUUAUUCCAGCUGUUAGCCGAGGCCAGCUGCAGGAGUCCCUCUGUCCCCUCUGGAUUCCUGCUGGGACAGCUGCACAUCCAGCUGCGCUUCCAGGUGAGAGUGGGGACCUGCUGCCCUGCUUUGCCCCAACCCCCGCGGGUUCUUUGUGAGUGCUGCCCGAGCCUGGCAGCGCGGAUGCCGCUCCCGAGAUGCGGGCAAUGCUGGGCAGGGACAGACGAUGGCACUCCAGCAUCGCUUUCCUCUCCUGCUGCCACGGCCGCAUCUGCAGGCGCGGCUCGCUCCCACAGCUCUGACCCCCUGACUCCCAGCUUCACUUUACUACGGGUUUGGCACCCGUUCUCUCUUGCAUUGGCGUGAACCUAAGCAGGUCCC